RNAcentral lists this ribosomal RNA (431 nucleotides) under Staphylococcus aureus. RNAcentral's name for it is "partial 23S ribosomal RNA". It matches the Rfam family "Bacterial large subunit ribosomal RNA", at positions 82 to 506 of the family's 2925-position model. Lineage: Bacteria; Bacillati; Bacillota; Bacilli; Caryophanales; Staphylococcaceae. The record is from RNAcentral.
GGAGCUGUAAGUAAGCUUUGAUCCAGAGAUUUCCGAAUGGGGAAACCCAGCAUGAGUUAUGUCAUGUUAUCGAUAUGUGAAUACAUAGCAUAUCAGAAGGCACACCCGGAGAACUGAAACAUCUUAGUACCCGGAGGAAGAGAAAGAAAAUUCGAUUCCCUUAGUAGCGGCGAGCGAAACGGGAAGAGCCCAAACCAACAAGCUUGCUUGUUGGGGUUGUAGGACACUCUAUACGGAGUUACAAAGGACGACAUUAGACGAAUCAUCUGGAAAGAUGAAUCAAAGAAGGUAAUAAUCCUGUAGUCGAAAAUGUUGUCUCUCUUGAGUGGAUCCUGAGUACGACGGAGCACGUGAAAUUCCGUCGGAAUCUGGGAGGACCAUCUCCUAAGGCUAAAUACUCUCUAGUGACCGAUAGUGAACCAGUACCGUGA